GUCACAGGGGACGGGUCCUUGUAGGUGACAGAGGAUGGAAGCUGGUCCUCCAGGACUAUAUCCUGUCCCCGGCUCCUCUCUCUCUCACUCCCUCUGUCCCUCCAUAUCUCUGGAAUCAUGUAACCAGCUCCGAUGACACUCGGUCACAGAGAGGGGACGUGAUCUUGCCACACUCCCGGAGAUCGCAGGAGCCUUGAUUCAGCCACCGGGGUCCUCACGGCGGGGGCUGAAUUCUUCCUGGGCGCGGGUCUUGGUAAAGGCCGACGUUUCAAAUACCGUUUUUAUAAAGUGGACCGACCUGAGCUCACGAUUUAAGAAUAUAAAUACAUAUUUACUCACAUCUAGACACCUAUUCUACUGAUAUAUUUAUGUAUUUUACUAAUAUGCAUUUCAUAUGUGUACCUAUGUUUUGCAUGCAUGUUGAUGUAUGUAUGUAUUAUUGUGUUGUAAUAUAUGUAUUUUAGUAAAUAGACAAAAGUGAUACAUAUUAGUAAAUCCAGUAUCUGUCAGUAUAUAUGUUUUUGGUCUUAGUGCAUAUUUUAUAUACGGGACAGUGUGCAUAUAUGUGUAUCUAUCACCUAUCCAUCUGUCCAAUCUUUCUAUCUACCUAUCGUCUAUCCAGCCUGUCUAUCUAUCAUUUAUCUAUCGUCUAUCCAUCCUGUCUAUCUAUCAUUUAUGUAUCAUCUAUCCAUCCUGGCUAUCUAUCAUCUGUCUAUCCAUCUAUCUGUCAUCUACCAGUUCUACCAUCUAUCUAUCUUCUAUCAUCUAACCAUCCUGUCUAUCUAUCUAUCUAUCUAUGUAUCUAUCUAUCUG
This 813-nucleotide long non-coding RNA is filed under the name Marmota monax (woodchuck). Lineage: Eukaryota; Metazoa; Chordata; Mammalia; Rodentia; Sciuridae. The record is from RNAcentral.